AAGAAUUUGAAAACUCAGAACAGAAGGGGAAAGAAUGGCAGGUUUCCCCACUGCGAGCCCUUCGAGAACAAUGUCAUGUUGAUCGAUGGCAGUGACUCACACCAGAUCUUUCCAUGCCUCCUCUGCAAGGACUCAAGAGAGUCGAGAGCAAAACCGUGCCAUAGUUCCAUAAGGAGGGCAAAGAGCUUUAUCCACGCUGAGGAACAGGCGGAUCAUGCGGCUACAGCACUGGUCUUUACCUUUUAACUGCUUGAUUCGAAACAUUCCAGCCAGGAACAGUGGCUCACACCUGUAAUCCCAGCACUUUGUGGGGCCAAGGCAGGUGGAUUGCUCGAGCUCAGGAGUUCGAAACCAGCCUGGGCAACCUGGCAAAACCUCAUCUCUACAAAAAAAUACAAAAAUUAGCCAGGCCUGGUGUGUGUGCCUGUGGUUCCAGCCACUCGGCAGGCUGCGGCCAGAGGAUCACUUGAGCCCAGGAAGUGGAGGCUGCAGUGAGCUGAGAUCGUGCCGCCACACUCCAGCCUGGGUGACAGAGCCAGACAUUGUCUCUAAAAAAAAAAAAAAAAGAAAAGAAAAGAAAGAAAAAAGAGAAAUAGUCCAAGACUAGGGAGAAAACCUUCUUUGGGGUCAGUGUGAACCAUUCUUUCAUUUGUUCAGCAAAUGCUUACUGAGGAGCUACUGUGUCCCUGAAAUUGCCUCCACCUCCAAGAAGACAGUGGUGAGCAAGUCAGACAAUACCUCUAAUCUCAUGGUAUUUAUAAGUAAAUGGGCCGUUAAAAUUACCAGAUCAGAAGUGCUGUGUUCAGCAAAUAGAGGCUCAUGGGAAACUCCUAAGAAGGGCUUCUGAGCUGGACUUGGGGGUCAGGAAAGGCAGAAUGAGGGGGCUGACUCAUCCAGACUGGGGCGGGGUUGCCGGGGGUGCCUCCCACUUACUAUCUGUCUCCUUCUAGACUGACUUCUCUGUCAUCAUGAAUACACCCCUUUAAGACAUACAUUUAAGAGAAAAUAAGAGGAUGCCUUAUUUAUUUAAAGGUUUGUUACAGUUUUACUAACAACCACAUACCUAAAGGAAAGUCGCAAGUAGAGCUCAAAAACUUUUUUCUCUGGGGCAGUGAAGAGUCAGUUGCCAGCCAGAAGGCCCACUGAGCCUGAGCACUUCAGGGUGUGCUUCCUACAGAUAAGGACAUCCUCCUGCAUAACAGGAAAGGGGUCCUGAUCCAGACCCCAAGAGAGGGUUCUUGGAUCUCGCACAAGAAAGAAUUCCGGGUGAGUCUGUAAAGCGAAAGCCAGUUUAUUAAGUAAAGGAGUAAAAGAAUGGCUAUUCCAUAGACAGAGCAGCCCUGAGGGCUGCUGAUUGCCCAGUUUUAUGGCUGUUUCUUGAUGAUAUGCUAAACAAGGGGUGGAUUACUCAUGCCUCCCCCUUUUAGACCGUAGAGGGCAAGUCCUGAUGUUGCCAUGGCGUUUGUAAACUGUCAUGGAGCUGGUGGGAGUGAAGCAGUGAGGAUGACCAGAGGUCACUCUCGGCACCAUCUUGGUUUUUGGUGGGUUUUAGCCAGCUUCUUUACUGCAACCUGUUUUUUCAGCAAUAUCUUUAUGACCUGUAUCUUGUGCCGACCUCCUAUCUCAUCCUGUAAAUUAGAAUGCCAUUACCAUCUGGGAAUGCAGCCCAGUAGGUCUCAGCCUUAUUUUACUCAGCUCCUAUUUAAGAUGGAGUCGCUCUGGUUCGAACGGCUCUGAUAUAACUGCUGCUCAGCCAUUGACGUCGGGAAGGUAGCACAGGCUCAUUGCCACCACUGAACCCUCAGACCCCACCCAAGUGUUGCCAGUUGUUCCAAUAAUGUCCUUUAUGGUGAAAGGACCAGAUCCAUGGUCACAUAUUGCAUUGAAUUGUCACGUCUUCUUCUUUAGUCUUCCCUCGACCUACAUGACCUUGCCAUUUUUGGAGAUAAUAGUUUAACAGUCCAGUGGGUUCACCUUGCCCGCUGCCUAGACAGAGCUGGUUGAUCAUGACAGGGGAGUUGCAAUGGACAAUGGAGAAAGCGUAAUUCACACAGAGUCGACUGUGUGGGAGACCAGAGUUUUGUUAAUACUCAAAUCAGUCUCCCUGAGCAUUUGGCGAUUAAAGUUUUUAAAGAUAAUUUGGUGGGUAGGGGCUUGGGAAGUGGAGAGUGCAAUGGAGAUGGAAUCACAGGGGGUCGAAGUGAGUUUUUCUUGCUGUUUUCUGUUCUUGGGUGGGAUGGCAGAACUGGUUGAGCCAGAUUACUGGUCUGGGUGGUGGUAGCUGGUCCACUGAGUGCAGGGUUUGCAAAAUAUCUCAAGCACUGAUCUUAGGUCUUACAAUAGUGAUGUUAUUGCCAGGAGCAAUUUGGGGAGGUUCAGACUCUUGGAGUCAGAGGCUGCAUGACCCCUAAACUGUAAUUUCUUGUUUUGUUUGUUUGUUUUGUUAUUGUUGUUUGGUUUUUUUUGAGACGGAGUUUCACUCUUGUUGCCCAGGCUGGAGUGCAAUGGCAUGAUCUCAGCUCACCGCAACCUCCACCUCCCAGGUUCAAGCAAUUCUCCUGCCUCAGCCUCCCAAGUAACUGAGAUUACAGGCAUGUGCCACCACGCCCGGCUAAUUUUGUAUUUUUAGUAGAGAUGGGGUUUCUCCAUGUUGGUCAGGCUGGUCUUGAACUCCUGACCUCAGGUGAUCUGCCUGCCUUGGCCUCCCAACGUGCUGGGAUUACAGGCAUGAGCCACUGCGCCUGGCCAGUAAUUUCUAAUCUUGUAGCUAAUUUGUUAGUCCUGCAAAGGCUGAGUGGUCCCAGGCAAGAAGGGGGUCUUUUUGGGAAAGGGGUUUUAUCAAUUUUGUUUCAGAGUCCAACCACGAAUUGAAUUCCUUCCCAAAGUUAGUUUGGCCUAUGCCCAGGGAUGAACAAGGACAGCUUAAAGGUUAGAAGCAAGAUGGAGUUGGUUAGAUCUGAUUUCUUCCAGUGUCAUAAUUUCCUGAGUUAUAAUUUUGCAAAGGUGGUUUCAAUAGGACACUUGCUUUGUAGCCUGCACUUUGGUUUUCAUUUCUCUGAUGUGCCCUCACGGUUAGGGCCAAGUGAUGCAUCUUUAGUGGGAAUAGCUCAGGAGUAGUGCGGUCUUCUUAUUGUAUUAUAACACAUGCGGUGGCAUUUGUUGGCUCAGCUUCUACACUGUAAAGUUGCUCUUUUUGCCUCUUAAUGAAUAUGUAUCUUGAGGGAGAUACUAAAAAAAAUCCCUUUCCUCAUCAAAUUCUGCAUGUGUUCAGUAUGGAUUCAUGGCUUUCUAUUUUAUCCACUAGGUUAUAAUCUGUUGCCAUCUUUAUUUUAAUACUCAAAUUCUCCCAUAUUCAGUGACCACCUCAAGCUGACUUCUGUAUCCUUUUGACACAUCUCAGUCAUUCUUUGAGCACUUCCUUUUUUGCUGAGAUGGGUACAUGUUCUAGGCCCACCCUGUGCUUCCCCUGUCUAGUCUGGAAUCAGCCGUUUCUCAAAGGAGCUUUUGGUGGAGAAUGGUGUUUAGAAACCAAGAUCUGGAUAGCAGGUGUGCUCGCUGUGAUUGGGCUAUUGCUGCUCCCAAUCCUCUAGAUAGCCAGAACAACAACAUAAAAACAUGUAUGUUUGGCUGGGCACGGUGGCCGAUGCCUGUAAUCCCAGCACUUUGGGAGGUUGAGGUGGGUGGAUCACCUCAGGUCAGUUUGAGACCAGGCUGACCAACAUGGUGAAACCUUGUCUCUACUA
Molecule: long non-coding RNA, 3743 nt
Filed under: Homo sapiens (human)
Lineage: Eukaryota; Metazoa; Chordata; Mammalia; Primates; Hominidae
Description: non-protein coding LINC01714:29
Source: RNAcentral